UUUGAAAAGCGCAGUGUUAUUGGAACAUAGCCACGCCCUUCCAUUUGCAGACUGUCUGUGGCUGCUUUCAAGCUACAACAGCAGGGCCGAGUGGUUGCAACAGAAACCCCAAAGCCUAUGGUGUCACAAAGCCUAAAAUGUUGACUCUCUGGCUCUUCAUAGAAAAAGUUUGCCAACCCUUGCCUGUGUUAAGAUCUUUACACGGGAUUUCGACCUUUUAACAAUUCCAGAAGGCAAGUACUACAUGUAAGUUCUUCUCCAUGACCUCCCAGUGAAGAAAAGAAACAUGGCAGAGAGGACCUUCAAAGUUCUCCCAACUCUGAAGUGAUCUGAUGCUUGGAUCUAUGUAUCAUCUUUCCAGAUGAGACUUUGUGUCUCAUGGAUGUGGCAAAGGCAGCAGAACUGCACCAAGACAGAGCUGGUAAAGAGCAACUCAAGUGGAAGUUCCCUGGGGACAAGUACUGCUAAAGUCAUUGAAGUUGCUGGCAUUAUGUUUCUACGAUUCUCUGAUCCCAAGUCCUAUAUGUUAUAACAAUAUUAGAGAGGAAGCACCAUCAUAAAUAAAACCAAAAAGCACACAGUUUUUAAUAAUUCAUUUGUCCGUAUCUUACCACCUACGUGAUGUCUUGUUUUAAAAGAAUUACAUGGAUUUGCAUUUCAAUAUUUUAGCUAUUACUCACUUGUACAGGUAGUCGAUUCCUC
RNAcentral lists this long non-coding RNA (702 nucleotides) under Homo sapiens (human). RNAcentral's name for it is "HSALNT0220750". The record is from RNAcentral. Lineage: Eukaryota; Metazoa; Chordata; Mammalia; Primates; Hominidae.